CAAUAGAGGCGCGGAGCUUAUUAGUACCUGUCUGGAGACAACGGAGUCCGGGAAGGACAGGAAAAGGAAGUUUCGCCGAAACCAGCGGCUGCCGUAGGCCGUCUGAGUUGGGGCAUAAGUCGAACAGGCUAUGCACUCUCACCGUUAAGGUGUUGGAG
This 158-nucleotide non-coding RNA is filed under the name uncultured Enterocloster sp. RNAcentral's name for it is "Lysine riboswitch". It matches the Rfam family "Lysine riboswitch aptamer", at positions 9 to 169 of the family's 182-position model. Rfam says of the family: Riboswitches are metabolite binding domains within certain messenger RNAs that serve as precision sensors for their corresponding targets. Allosteric rearrangement of mRNA structure is mediated by ligand binding, and this results in modulation of gene expression. This family includes riboswitches that sense lysine in a number of genes involved in lysine metabolism, including lysC. Lineage: Bacteria; Bacillati; Bacillota; Clostridia; Lachnospirales; Lachnospiraceae. The record is from RNAcentral.